UACGAAGGGGGCUAGCGUUGCUCGGAAUUACUGGGCGUAAAGCGUGCGCAGGCGGUGAUGUAAGACAGAUGUGAAAUCCCCGGGCUCAACCUGGGAACUGCAUUUGUGACUGCAUCGCUGGAGUGCGGCAGAGGGGGAUGGAAUUCCGCGUGUAGCAGUGAAAUGCGUAGAUAUGCGGAGGAACACCGAUGGCGAAGGCAAUCCCCUGGGCCUGCACUGACGCUCAUGCACGAAAGCGUGGGGAGCGAACAGG
Molecule: ribosomal RNA, 253 nt
Filed under: uncultured bacterium
Lineage: Bacteria
Description: partial 16S ribosomal RNA
Rfam family: Bacterial small subunit ribosomal RNA
Source: RNAcentral